This 800-nucleotide ribosomal RNA is filed under the name Halomonas sp. RNAcentral's name for it is "bacterial SSU rRNA". It matches the Rfam family "Bacterial small subunit ribosomal RNA", at positions 52 to 849 of the family's 1533-position model. The record is from RNAcentral. Lineage: Bacteria; Pseudomonadati; Pseudomonadota; Gammaproteobacteria; Oceanospirillales; Halomonadaceae.
CACAUGCAAGUCGAGCGGUAACAGAUCCAGCUUGCUGGAUGCUGACGAGCGGCGGACGGGUGAGUAAUGCAUAGGAAUCUGCCCGAUAGUGGGGGAUAACCUGGGGAAACCCAGGCUAAUACCGCAUACGUCCUACGGGAGAAAGGGGGCUCCGGCUCCCGCUAUGGGAUGAGCCUAUGUCGGAUUAGCUAGUUGGUGAGGUAACGGCUCACCAAGGCCACGAUCCGUAGCUGGUCUGAGAGGAUGAUCAGCCACAUCGGGACUGAGACACGGCCCGAACUCCUACGGGAGGCAGCAGUGGGGAAUAUUGGACAAUGGGGGCAACCCUGAUCCAGCCAUGCCGCGUGUGUGAAGAAGGCCCUCGGGUUGUAAAGCACUUUCAGCGAGGAAGAACGCCUGUCGGUUAAUACCCGGUAGGAAAGACAUCACUCGCAGAAGAAGCACCGGCUAACUCCGUGCCAGCAGCCGCGGUAAUACGGAGGGUGCAAGCGUUAAUCGGAAUUACUGGGCGUAAAGCGCGCGUAGGUGGCUUGAUAAGCCGGUUGUGAAAGCCCCGGGCUCAACCUGGGAACGGCAUCCGGAACUGUCAAGCUAGAGUGCAGGAGAGGAAGGUAGAAUUCCCGGUGUAGCGGUGAAAUGCGUAGAGAUCGGGAGGAAUACCAGUGGCGAAGGCGGCCUUCUGGACUGACACUGACACUGAGGUGCGAAAGCGUGGGUAGCAAACAGGAUUAGAUACCCUGGUAGUCCACGCCGUAAACGAUGUCGACCAGCCGUUGGGUGCCUAGCGCACUUUGUGGCGA